This 89-nucleotide transfer RNA is filed under the name Amborella trichopoda. Its description in RNAcentral is "tRNA AMTR_s00009t00279030". The record is from RNAcentral. Lineage: Eukaryota; Viridiplantae; Streptophyta; Magnoliopsida; Amborellales; Amborellaceae.
GGAACUUGUAGGGAGCAUCUUCUUUCUUUGAAAGAGAGAGAGAGAGAUCAAGACUUUGUGAAGUAUGGUUGGAGUCCUAGAGGUACUUC